GAUGAACGCUGGCGGCGUGCCUAAUACAUGCGAGUCGAGCGAACAGAUAAGGAGCUUGCUCCUUUGACGUUAGCGGCGGACGGGUGAGUAACACGUGGGUAACCUACCUAUAAGACUGGGAUAACUUCGGGAAACCGGAGCCAAUACCGGAUAAUAUUUCGAACCGCAUGGUUCGAUAGUGGAAGAUGGUUUUGCUAUCACUUAUAGAUGGACCCGCGCCGUAUUAGCUAGUUGGUAAGGUAACGGCUUACCAAGGCGACGAUACGUAGCCGACCUGAGAGGGUGAUCGGCCACACUGGAACUGAGACACGGUCCAGACUCCUACGGGAGGCAGCAGUAGGGAAUCUUCCGCAAUGGGCGAAAGCCUGACGGAGCAACGCCGCGUGAGUGAUGAAGGUCUUCGGAUCGUAAAACUCUGUUAUUAGGGAAGAACAUACGUGUAAGUAACUGUGCACGUCUUGACGGUACCUAAUCAGAAAGCCACGGCUAACUACGUG
RNAcentral lists this ribosomal RNA (497 nucleotides) under uncultured bacterium. RNAcentral describes it as "partial 16S ribosomal RNA". It matches the Rfam family "Bacterial small subunit ribosomal RNA", at positions 28 to 507 of the family's 1533-position model. The record is from RNAcentral.